Molecule: ribosomal RNA, 432 nt
Filed under: uncultured bacterium
Lineage: Bacteria
Description: partial 16S ribosomal RNA
Rfam family: Bacterial small subunit ribosomal RNA
Source: RNAcentral
AACGAACGCUGGCGGCAUGCCUAACACAUGCAAGUCGAACGAGACCUUCGGGUCUAGUGGCGCACGGGUGCGUAACGCGUGGGAACCUGCCCUUAGGUUCGGAAUAACUCCCCGAAAGGGGUGCUAAUACCGGAUAAUGUCUUCGGACCAAAGAUUUAUCGCCUUUGGAUGGGCCCGCGUUGGAUAGCUAGUUGGUAGGGUAAAAGCCUACCAAGGCGACGAUCCAUAGCUGGUCUGAGAGGAUGAUCAGCCACACUGGGACUGAGACACGGCCCAGACUCCUACGGGAGGCAGCAGUGGGGAAUAUUGGACAAUGGGCGAAAGCCUGACCCAGCAAUGCCGCGUGAGUGAUGAAGGCCUUAGGGUUGUAAAGCUCUUUUACCCGGGAUGAUAAUGACAGUACCGGGAGAAUAAGCUCCGGCUAACUCCGUG